Molecule: ribosomal RNA, 573 nt
Filed under: uncultured bacterium
Lineage: Bacteria
Description: bacterial SSU rRNA
Rfam family: Bacterial small subunit ribosomal RNA
Source: RNAcentral
CUCCUACGGGAGGCAGCAGUCGGGAAUUUUGGGCAAUGGGCGAAAGCCUGACCCAGCAACGCCGCGUGAAGGAUGAAGUAUUUCGGUAUGUAAACUUCGAAAGAAUAGGAAGAAUAAAUGACGGUACUAUUUAUAAGGUCCGGCUAACUACGUGCCAGCAGCCGCGGUAAUACGUAGGGACCAAGCGUUGUUCGGAUUUACUGGGCGUAAAGGGCGCGUAGGCGGCGUGGUAAGUCACUUGUGAAAUCUCUGAGCUUAACUCAGAACGGCCAAGUGAUACUGCUGUGCUAGAGUGCAGAAGGGGCAAUCGGAAUUCUUGGUGUAGCGGUGAAAUGCGUAGAUAUCAAGAGGAACACCUGAGGUGAAGACGGGUUGCUGGGCUGACACUGACGCUGAUGCGCGAAAGCCAGGGGAGCAAACGGGAUUAGAUACCCCGGUAGUCCUGGCCCUAAACGAUGAAUACUUGGUGUCUGGAGUCUUUAAUGCUCCGGGUGCCGUCGCUAACGUUUUAAGUAUUCCGCCUGGGGAGUACGCUCGCAAGAGUGAAACUUAAAGGAAUUGACGGAAUCACUA